CUCCCUACGGGGGCAGCAGUGAGGAAUAUUGGUCAAUGGUCGGGAGACUGAACCAGCCAAGCCGCGUGAGGGAGGAAGGUACAGAGUAUCGUAAACCUCUUUUGUCAGGGAACAAAGACUGGGACGCGUCCCCGGAUGAGUGUACCUGAAGAAAAAGCAUCGGCUAACUCCGUGCCAGCAGCCGCGGUAAUACGGAGGAUGCGAGCGUUAUCCGGAUUUAUUGGGUUUAAAGGGUGCGUAGGCGGAAUGCCAAGUCAGCGGUAAAAUCGCGGGGCUCAACCUCGCUCCGCCGUUGAAACUGGCGU
Molecule: ribosomal RNA, 305 nt
Filed under: uncultured bacterium
Lineage: Bacteria
Description: bacterial SSU rRNA
Rfam family: Bacterial small subunit ribosomal RNA
Source: RNAcentral